AAGAAGAAGAAGAAGAAGAAGAAUAAGAAUAGGAGGAGAAAAAGAGGAGGGGAGUAGGAGGAGAAAAAAGAAGAAGAAGAAGAAGAAGAAGAAGAAUAAGAAGAAGAAGAACAAGAAGAAGAAGAAGAAAAGAAGAAGAAGAAGNAGAAGAAGAAGAAGAAAAAGAGGAGAGAGGAGAAGAACAAAGAAGAGGAAAAGGGAACCCAGGCACCCCGAAACUGACCCUCGACCCCCGAUCCCGGACGCCCGACGCCACUGAC
RNAcentral lists this long non-coding RNA (260 nucleotides) under Hordeum vulgare. RNAcentral describes it as "long non-coding RNA (HVUL_LNC019450)". Lineage: Eukaryota; Viridiplantae; Streptophyta; Magnoliopsida; Poales; Poaceae. The record is from RNAcentral.